GACCAGCAAGACAGGACCAAGAGAAGCUGGUAGCAACAGGAUCUGACCAAAUGAAAAGUGCAAGAGGGAAACCCAGAUAGCAGCUGAACGGCCUCUAAUACCUGCAAGAUGGUCUGCUUCUGAAGGUGAUAUUGUCCAGACUUUAUCAGAAGUGGAUCUGGCUUCAUUGCAUGGCAAAUCUCCAGAUGAGGAUGCCCUCAUCCAUGGACUGUUUCAUCCACGGGAUGUGAGUUGUCUUGGUUGACACUGAAGAAUGAAUAGAAUGAAGGUGCAGUGGGGAAUCCAGAUGCCAUCUAAGAAGUCUGACUUACCUGAGGCCACCAUGCUAUAAGGAAGACCAAGAUAGCCAUGUGGAGAGAGAGGGCCCAUGCAGAAGAUCACUGAGGUGUCUGUCAUAUCAGAGACUCCUGACUGAACAGCCUGUUAUACUGACACCAAGCAUACCAGUAACCUGCUCCCUGACCUAUAUAAGGCUGAGUUCCAGGCUUACCAUAUUGAUCGAAUGGGACCUUCAGCCAAGUUUUCACCCCUUGGAGUGCCACCUUUCAUCUAAGAAUAAGAAAAUGGGGCUUCCCUGGUGGUGCAGCGGUUGAGAGUCUGCCUGCCAAUGCAGGGGACGCGGGUUCGAGCCCUGGUCUGGGAAGAUCCCACAUGCCGCGGAGCAGCUGGGCCCGUGAGCCACAAUUACUGAGCCUGCGCGUCUGGAGCCGGUGCUCCGCAACGGGAGAGGCCGCGAUGGUGAGAGGCCCGCGCACCGCGAUGAAGAGUGGCCCCGCUUGCUGCGACUGGAGAAAGCCCUCGCACAGAAACGAAGACCCAACACAGCCAUAAAUAAAUAAAUAAAUGAAUGAAUGAAUGAAUGAAUGAGAAAAUGGUAAGGAAACAAUAUGGCUGCCAUGAAAAAUAAAUGCAACAAUGACAUCUUAUUGCUUCCAAGAGCAAGCAGAGCUUUCACAACUGUCCUUCAAAGCCCAGUUUUACCUAUCCAAUCUUCAGUCAUAGCUAUCUUUAAGGUUCCUUUAAAAUAUGAUAAAAGAUAUGGACCUUCUCAUCAAAAUAAUGCAUAAGUACAAUUUACAAAUGUUUUCAGUGGAUUUUUGGUAGAUCCCCAUCUCCCUUCCCUAGGAACCAAGCCCAUUCUCCUACCAUCUUUAGGCUCAGACCCACCCUCUCAGAUUGAAAUGGGGUGGGGGGUUAGGGUGGCAGUUAUACUUCUCCCCUUCCACGUCAGACUAGCUUCUGAAUGUCUUCUUCCAAGUUGUCACUCUACAGACAGACCCAUUGAUCCUUCUUAUUUUAGGGGUUUGCCUGUCAAUCACUGUGGGAAAACACUGUGGGGAAACAAUAGCAGGAUUCCAAAAAUAACAAUAAGGCAGUUAAAAAGCUUAACUCUUAAAAGGCCCUCACUCCCUUGCUGAGAGGGUUAUAGGAUGGCUGCUGCCUGAUUUUUUCCUUUCAAGAUGGAUCUCUUCUGGUGAACUUGUUGGUUGAAUUCUUUCUCCUUCUUUCUAGGAAAAACUCAGAGUGUUUUGAAAGUUAUCCUGGGAGUAGAUUCUCCAAUAGAUAAUUUGCAUCCCUCAGCUCCUGUGGACUGUUCAAUGGCUCUGGGGAUUUUCUCACUACACAGAAUCCUUGAUCUUUUCCCUAAGGAAUAGA
Molecule: long non-coding RNA, 1656 nt
Organism: Balaenoptera ricei (Rice's whale)
Lineage: Eukaryota; Metazoa; Chordata; Mammalia; Artiodactyla; Balaenopteridae
Exons: 7
Source: RefSeq, a predicted model, not a curated record